GAUGAAGAACGCAGCGAAAUGCGAUAAGUAAUGUGAAUUGCAGAAUUCAGUGAAUCAUCGAAUCUUUGGACGCACAUUGCGCCCCUUGGUAUUCCGAGGGGCAUGCCCGUUCGAGCGUCAUUAUACCCCUCAAGCCUAGCUUGGUGUUGGGGCCUGCUGUUACCGGCAGCCCUUAAAAUCAGUGGCGGUGCCAUCUGGCUCUAAGCGUAGUAAUACUUCUCGCUACAGGGUCCCGGUGGAUGCUUGCCAUCAACCCCUAAUUUUCUAUGGUUGACCUCGGAUCGGGUAGGGAUACCCGCUGAACUUAAGCAUAUCAAUAAGCGGAGGA
RNAcentral lists this unclassified non-coding RNA (328 nucleotides) under soil metagenome. RNAcentral's name for it is "partial contains 5.8S ribosomal RNA, internal transcribed spacer 2, and large subunit ribosomal RNA". The stretch from base 1 to 120 matches the Rfam family "5.8S ribosomal RNA", at positions 35 to 154 of the family's 154-position model. The record is from RNAcentral.